ACACCGUGAAACCCCGUCUCUACUAAAAAUACAAAAAAAUUAGCUGGGCGUGGUGGCGGGUGCCUGUAGUCUCAGCUGUUGGGGAGGCUGAGGCAGGAGAAUGGCGUGAACCUGGGAGUCGGAGCUGGCAGUUAGCUGAGAUCGCACCACUGCACUCCAGCCUGGGUGACAGAGCAAGUCUCCGUCAAAAAAGCAUUGCCUCACGCCAAAUGAAGGUAAAAAUCCUGAGACUUCUUAGUAAUUGAUUUCUCAUUGGCCUUAAUAACCCAGAGUAAAAAGUGAAUACUAAGGAGUUUUUAUAUCCACAACCAUGAGUCUCACACUCUGGGAUACUUUCUAUUUUGUAUU
Molecule: long non-coding RNA, 348 nt
Filed under: Pan troglodytes (chimpanzee)
Lineage: Eukaryota; Metazoa; Chordata; Mammalia; Primates; Hominidae
Description: long non-coding RNA NONPTRT012559
Source: RNAcentral